Molecule: ribosomal RNA, 253 nt
Filed under: uncultured bacterium
Lineage: Bacteria
Description: partial 16S ribosomal RNA
Rfam family: Bacterial small subunit ribosomal RNA
Source: RNAcentral
UACGGGGGGGGCAAGCGUUGUUCGGAAUUACUGGGCGUAAAGGGCUCGUAGGCGGCCAACUAAGUCAGACGUGAAAUCCCUCGGCUUAACCGGGGAACUGCAUCUGAUACUGGAUGGCUUGAGUUUGGGAGAGGGAUGCGGAAUUCCAGGUGUAGCGGUGAAAUGCGUAGAUAUCUGGAGGAACACCGGUGGCGAAGGCGGCAUCCUGGACCAACACUGACGCUGAGGCACGAAAGCGUGGGUAGCAAACAGG